Molecule: long non-coding RNA, 337 nt
Organism: Octopus sinensis (East Asian common octopus)
Lineage: Eukaryota; Metazoa; Mollusca; Cephalopoda; Octopoda; Octopodidae
Exons: 3
Source: RefSeq, a predicted model, not a curated record
ACACACACACACAUAUAUAUAUAGAUAGAUCUAUUUACAUACACUCACACAUAUAUAUGAGAUCUAUUUACAUUCGCACACACACAUAUAUGUAUAAACUAGUAUAGUACCAGUGAAAGAUGACAGGAUUUGAAUACAAAUAAGGGAUACAUUUGAGGAACAUUAUGAGCGUGACAAGAGUAAUAUAGAAAUUAACAUAAUAUACAGAGAGAAGCUGAUAUUAGAAGAGUAAUUAGGCAAAUGAAAGACAGAAAAGGAAAACAGCCAUCAAAAUGUGGCUUUAAGUAAAUCAGUAAACUAAACUCUUUAUUUCCUAAUUACUCUGACACCAUCAUAC